GUGUCAGCAGCCGCGGUAAGACAGAGGGUGCGAACGUUGUUCGGAAUUACUGGGCGUAAAGCGCGUGUAGGCGGCCACGCAAGUCGGAUGUGAAAUCCCUUGGCUCAACUGAGGAAGUGCAUUCGAAACUGCGUGGCUUGAGUCCCGGAGAGGAUGGUGGAAUUCUCGGUGUAGAGGUGAAAUUCGUAGAUAUCGAGAGGAACACCGGUGGCGAAGGCGGCCAUCUGGACGGUGACUGACGCUGAGACGCGAAAGCGUGGGGAGCAAACAGGAUUAGAUACCCUGGUAGUCC
RNAcentral lists this ribosomal RNA (292 nucleotides) under uncultured bacterium. Its description in RNAcentral is "partial 16S ribosomal RNA". It matches the Rfam family "Bacterial small subunit ribosomal RNA", at positions 505 to 796 of the family's 1533-position model. The record is from RNAcentral.